AAUUCUCAAAACCUUUUCUUUGAGAAAAGGAUUUUGGACUUGGAGGUUUUUAUGCUUGCUUUCGUGUCUCGAAAGUGAGCUCCUCUCAAAUGAAUUAGUGGGGUCUGCUUUGCUGGUCCUUGACGUGAUAAGAUGUUUUGACGUUUUGGACUUGGCACUGUCUCUUGGAUGCCUGCUUCUAACUGUCCAUCUCAUGGACAAUGAUGGUGCUCUGGUCUCUUCCAUCCACAUUGGUGGGAGGCUGGACCCACAAGAAA
This 257-nucleotide unclassified non-coding RNA is filed under the name uncultured Russula. Its description in RNAcentral is "sequence contains ITS2". The record is from RNAcentral. Lineage: Eukaryota; Fungi; Basidiomycota; Agaricomycetes; Russulales; Russulaceae.